GUCACAUUCCCAUUGGUGCCCUCAGACUUACGGUGAGGUUCUUGCUCAUCAUAAACAGCAAUCAGCUUAUCUUUGUCUUCCACAACGUCUGCCAGCACAUCAUCAGGGUCCAGGAUUCCUCCAUCUGUAUACUCCAGGUGGUGAAUAUUCACCCAGUAAGUUGGAUCCUUCUCCUGGGCCUUGCGGUAGCGCUGCAGGGCCUGCUGGGUCAGGUCCCGCACGCGGAGCUGCCCGUCCUUGCAGGGCACCACGAUCCCGGUCCUCCCGAAGCACACGGUCACUUUCAUCUCAGCGCCGCGCCAUGCCCCGCCGGCCCCGCCAGAAACGCGGCCCGGCCCGGCCCGGGGGCGGCGCAGGUGCGGUCCGGGAGCGCCGGCAGGUGCGUGGCUCCGGCCCCGCGGCGAGGGCGGGCCGGCAGGUGCGCGCGGUGCCCCGGGGCCGCGCACGGGCAGCGCCGGGAGCGAGGCCGCGGCCGGCGGCCUCCUUCCGCCGCGGCGGGCCGCUGUGCCCGCCCCUCCCCGCCCGGCUUCUCUCCGGGGAGGCGCGGGCCGAGCCGGGCCGGGCGGGGCGGCCCCUCGCGGCGGGGGCGCGGCGGGGUUCGGCUCGGGGCGACGGGGCGCGGCGACGGGCCGUGAGGGAACGGCGGCGGG
This 650-nucleotide long non-coding RNA is filed under the name Gallus gallus (chicken). Lineage: Eukaryota; Metazoa; Chordata; Aves; Galliformes; Phasianidae. The record is from RNAcentral.